This 253-nucleotide ribosomal RNA is filed under the name uncultured cyanobacterium. RNAcentral's name for it is "partial 16S ribosomal RNA". It matches the Rfam family "Bacterial small subunit ribosomal RNA", at positions 524 to 776 of the family's 1533-position model. Lineage: Bacteria; Bacillati; Cyanobacteriota. The record is from RNAcentral. RNAcentral also lists the same sequence under 1 other name.
GACGUAGGAUGCGAGCGUUGUCCGGAAUUAUUGGGCGUAAAGCGUACGUAGGCGGUCAUCUAAGUCUGGGGUUAAAGACCAAGGCUCAACCUUGGGAGUGCCCUGGAUACUGGGUGACUGGAGGACGGCAGAGGAAAGUGGAAUUCCCAGUGUAGCGGUGAAAUGCGUAGAUAUUGGGAGGAACACCAGUGGCGAAAGCGACUUUCUGGGCCGUUCCUGACGCUGAGGUACGAAAGCCAGGGGAGCAAACGGG